UUUGCAGGAGAAGGUGGAUAUUAAUGAUUAUGAAUAUAAAAAAAUCCCUAAGCCCAAGGAAAGCGCAUAAAACAACGAAAAGGUUACUGAGAUUCUCGUGUGCUAUAAUUUUGCAGCUCGUAGGGAUUCUCUUUUGCAAUAAUAUACCAGCAGUGCAGCUCUUCCUUUCCUUGAGUUAACUGGUGAAUUUUUUUGAUCGGUUGUUGCAUUGUGCAUGCUUUUUUAGUUGUAUAUGCAGCUCUAAGCAGGAUGAAUGUAAGUGACUCAGGCAAUUUUGGGAUUUUAAAUUUCCUGAAACAACCUAUCCAGAGGAAAGUCAGUUGUGGCAUUAAUGUGAAUAUUUAUGGAAGUGUUAUGUUCUCUUAGUCCUGAAACCCAGUGUCCAAUUUCAGCAAAGCCUGACAAGUUAGGGAUUUCAUAUACUUAUUUUUUGAAUUGUUCAAAUCGGUAACCUGCCUAGGAUGGUACGGUUUUCAAAAUUUGGCAUAUUAGUCUUAUCCAUUAUCUUGUUCAAUAGGGGUCUCAUUUUGUUUACAUCAAUUUGAGUUUGAAUUUUGAUUUCAAGAUAUCUCAUAUUAUGCAAGGUCAUAAUUAGUGAAGCUUAAGCUGGAAUGCUAUAAUAGUGAUAUUGAUUGGAAUUAUGCAGGUUUACAUUGGCGAGAGAGGAAUACCUAGUU
Molecule: long non-coding RNA, 677 nt
Filed under: Nicotiana tabacum (common tobacco)
Lineage: Eukaryota; Viridiplantae; Streptophyta; Magnoliopsida; Solanales; Solanaceae
Description: long non-coding RNA (NTAB_LNC001252)
Source: RNAcentral